GAGUUUGAUCCUGGCUCAGAUUGAACGCUGGCGGCAGGCCUAACACAUGCAAGUCGAACGGUAACAGAAAGCAGCCUGCUGCUUUGCUGACGAGUGGCGGACGGGUGAGUAAUGUCUGGGAAACUGCCUGAUGGAGGGGGAUAACUACUGGAAACGGUAGCUAAUACCGCAUAACGUCGCAAGACCAAAGAGGGGGACCUUCGGGCCUCUUGCCAUCGGAUGUGCCCAGAUGGGAUUAGCUUGUUGGUGGGGUAACGGCUCACCAAGGCGACGAUCUCUAGCUGGUCUGAGAGGAUGACCAGCCACACUGGAACUGAGACACGGUCCAGACUCCUACGGGAGGCAGCAGUGGGGAAUAUUGCACAAUGGGCGCAAGCCUGAUGCAGCCAUGCCGCGUGUAUGAAGAAGGCCUUCGGGUUGUAAAGUACUUUCAGCGGGGAGGAAGGGAGUAAAGUUAAUACCUUUGCUCAUUGACGUUACCCGCAGAAGAAGCACCGGCUAACUCCGUGCCAGCAGCCGCGGUAAUACGGAGGGUGCAAGCGUUAAUCGGAAUUACUGGGCGUAAAGCGCACGCAGGCGGUUUGUUAAGUCAGAUGUGAAAUCCCCGGGCUCAACCUG
Molecule: ribosomal RNA, 618 nt
Filed under: uncultured bacterium
Lineage: Bacteria
Description: bacterial SSU rRNA
Rfam family: Bacterial small subunit ribosomal RNA
Source: RNAcentral